Small nuclear RNA from Aotus nancymaae (Ma's night monkey), 107 nucleotides. NCBI's taxonomy places the organism in Eukaryota, Metazoa, Chordata, Mammalia, Primates, Aotidae. The record is from Ensembl.
GUGCUUACUACAGCACCACAUAUACUAAAAUUAGAACAAUACAGAGAAAAUUAGCAUGUCCCCUGAAGAAGGAUGGCAUGCAAAUUCAUGAAAUCUUCCAUAUUUUA